Molecule: long non-coding RNA, 1362 nt
Organism: Herpailurus yagouaroundi (jaguarundi)
Lineage: Eukaryota; Metazoa; Chordata; Mammalia; Carnivora; Felidae
Exons: 2
Source: RefSeq, a predicted model, not a curated record
CGGGGGUCGGGGCUCGGCCGCGAGUUAUGGCCUCGAACUCGAGGUCAGGAGUUGCAGGAGGAUUUAGGCCAACGCCCAGGUUGUGGAGUUGGCCAGGACUAGAGAUUAAGGGGACAGCACAGUCAGGCCUGAGAUGAAGGGGUCAAAGGCACAGAGGUCAGGGCCAGAGGUCAAAGGCACAGGGAGUGGGGCCAAUUUAGAGGUUGGGGUCAAAGGUUAAAACCAAGCAUCACCCUUUUCCCCUCGGGAUUGUGUUAUUCCCACCCCUGUACAAACAGACUGGCUCCCACCCGCCUGGGUGUCUCCCUAUUUGUUGAUCAUCUGACUCUCGAUGUCAGCUCAGGUCAUGAUCCUAGAGUGGUGGGAUGGUGUCUCUUUAUACUUCAAGUCACCGGAAAUAUCAAGGACAGAUGUCACAACCCGUCCUAAUCCAAUCAUCAAAAUUCAGAGGAAAGUCCACAGGACAAAGGACCUUGUUUCUCCAACAAGGGAAUUUCAAAGGAAGACAAGAAAAAGAGGGAGAGAUUGAGACAGAGAUUAAGGGCAAAACCCACAGUUAAAGAGACUUUGAGAUAUCUCCACCAGUUGCAAGCUCUGACCGCAGAUUCAUCAUCUCCUGGGAUGUCUAAGGCACAUCAACACCAGUAACGGCCAAACUCAACUUCUGAUUCCCGGUCCCCCAACCAGUUCAUGGGCUCAAGCCAGGCGUCUGACUCUGCACUGACAGCUCCGAGCUUGGAGCCCAGAACCUGCUUCAGAUUCUGUGUCUCACUGUCUCUCUGCCCCUCCCUCGCCCCUCCCCUGUUCGCACUCUGCCUCUCUCUCAAAAAUAAACACACACUAGGGGCGCCUGAGUGGCCCAAAAAAACCCGAAGCCCUGGCUGGAAUCUGACCCCCUCUGACCACCUAGCUGGGGCUGCCAGCCUUCUUCUGAUUAUUCUGAUUAGUCCACUUGUCCUAAUGGGUCUCCAGGCUUCCAUGCCGGCUGCACUUUGCCCACCCCUCCAUGGGAGUCCUAGUAGUCCUGCUUUUUGUUCUUCUCAGAACCCUCCCGGGCUCAUCUCCUUCCUUGCUCACAUCUACCAGGCAUGAAGAUCUGUCCUCCUUCCUUUCUGCUCUCAAAUCUCCACUGUCCCCCUGCCACUCCACUUCAGCCACCUGAGCCUCCUUCUGGCCCCUCCCACAAUGGUAGCCACAGUCCUGCCACAGGGCCUUUGCACUUGCUAUGCCCGCUGCCUAGACUGCUGUGUUCCUCCCUCACCUCAGAUGUCUUUGUUCAAGCCUCACCUCAGCAAGGCCUUCACUGGCCACCCCAUCUAAAACUGUCACGCACUCACACUGCAUGUCUGUUUCCCUGCUUUU